Molecule: ribosomal RNA, 579 nt
Filed under: Synacalles dorsalis
Lineage: Eukaryota; Metazoa; Arthropoda; Insecta; Coleoptera; Curculionidae
Description: partial 16S ribosomal RNA
Rfam family: Bacterial large subunit ribosomal RNA
Source: RNAcentral
CGCCUGUUUAUUAAAMACAUGUCCUAUUGAUAUAUUAAUUUUAGGUCUGGCCUGCUCAAUGAGGAAUUAAAUGGCCGCGGUAUACUGACCGUGCAAAGGUAGCAUAAUCAUUAGUUUUUUAAUUGAAAGCUUGUAUGAAAGGUUUGAUGAAAAAAUUACUGUCUCUAUUUAAAUUUAUUAAAAUUUUAUUUUUAAGUAAAAAAGCUUAGAUAAGUUUAGAAGACGAGAAGACCCUAUAGAGUUUUAUAAUUUAAGAAAUAAGAUAUAUAAUUAGAAUUUAUAGUAGAAUAUUGAUUAAGUUAUUUUGUUGGGGAGAUAGAAAAAUUAAAUUAACUUUUUUUAGAUUUAAACAUUAGUUUAUGAAAAAUUGAUCCUUUAUUGAAGAUUAUAAGAUAAAAUUACCUUAGGGAUAACAGCGUUAUUUUCUUUUAGAGUUCAAAUCAAAAGGAAAGUUUGCGACCUCGAUGUUGGAUUAAAAAAAAUAAUUGGUGUAGAAGCUGAUAUAUUUAGGUCUGUUCGACCUUUAAAAUUUUACAUGAUCUGAGUUUAAACCGGKGUAAGCCAGGUCGGUUUCUAUCU